AGGCAUUGAGGCAGCCAGCGCAGGGGCUUCUGCUGAGGGGGCAGGCGGAGCUUGAGGAAACCGCAGAUAAGUUUUUUUCUCUUUGAAAGAUAGAGAUUAAUACAACUACUUAAAAAAUAUAGUCAAUAGGUUACUAAGAUAUUGCUUAGCGUUAAGUUUUUAACGUAAUUUUAAUAGCUUAAGAUUUUAAGAGAAAAUAUGAAGACUUAGAAGAGUAGCAUGAGGAAGGAAAAGAUAAAAGGUUUCUAAAACAUGACGGAGGUUGAGAUGAAGCUUCUUCAUGGAGUAAAAAAUGUAUUUAAAAGAAAAUUGAGAGAAAGGACUACAGAGCCCCGAAUUAAUACCAAUAGAAGGGCAAUGCUUUUAGAUUAAAAUGAAGGUGACUUAAACAGCUUAAAGUUUAGUUUAAAAGUUGUAGGUGAUUAAAAUAAUUUGAAGGCGAUCUUUUAAAAAGAGAUUAAACCGAAGGUGAUUAAAAGACCUUGAAAUCCAUGACGCAGGGAGAAUUGCGUCAUUUAAAGCCUAGUUAACGCAUUUACUAAACGCAGACGAAAAUGGAAAGAUUAAUUGGGAGUGGUAGGAUGAAACAAUUUGGAGAAGAUAGAAGUUUGAAGUGGAAAACUGGAAGACAGAAGUACGGGAAGGCGAAGAAAAGAAUAGAGAAGAUAGGGAAAUUAGAAGAUAAAAACAUACUUUUAGAAGAAAAAAGAUAAAUUUAAACCUGAAAAGUAGGAAGCAGAAGAAAAAAGACAAGCUAGGAAACAAAAAGCUAAGGGCAAAAUGUACAAACUUAGAAGAAAAUUGGAAGAUAGAAACAAGAUAGAAAAUGAAAAUAUUGUCAAGAGUUUCAGAUAGAAAAUGAAAAACAAGCUAAGACAAGUAUUGGAGAAGUAUAGAAGAUAGAAAAAUAUAAAGCCAAAAAUUGGAUAAAAUAGCACUGAAAAAAUGAGGAAAUUAUUGGUAACCAAUUUAUUUUAAAAGCCCAUCAAUUUAAUUUCUGGUGGUGCAGAAGUUAGAAGGUAAAGCUUGAGAAGAUGAGGGUGUUUACGUAGACCAGAACCAAUUUAGAAGAAUACUUGAAGCUAGAAGGGGAAGUUGGUUAAAAAUCACAUCAAAAAGCUACUAAAAGGACUGGUGUAAUUUAAAAAAAACUAAGGCAGAAGGCUUUUGGAAGAGUUAGAAGAAUUUGGAAGGCCUUAAAUAUAGUAGCUUAGUUUGAAAAAUGUGAAGGACUUUCGUAACGGAAGUAAUUCAAGAUCAAGAGUAAUUACCAACUUAAUGUUUUUGCAUUGGACUUUGAGUUAAGAUUAUUUUUUAAAUCCUGAGGACUAGCAUUAAUUGACAGCUGACCCAGGUGCUACACAGAAGUGGAUUCAGUGAAUCUAGGAAGACAGCAGCAGACAGGAUUCCAGGAACCAGUGUUUGAUGAAGCUAGGACUGAGGAGCAAGCGAGCAAGCAGCAGUUCGUGGUGAAGAUAGGAAAAGAGUCCAGGAGCCAGUGCGAUUUGGUGAAGGAAGCUAGGAAGAAGGAAGGAGCGCUAACGAUUUGGUGGUGAAGCUAGGAAAAAGGAUUCCAGGAAGGAGCGAGUGCAAUUUGGUGAUGAAGGUAGCAGGCGGCUUGGCUUGGCAACCACACGGAGGAGGCGAGCAGGCGUUGUGCGUAGAGGAUCCUAGACCAGCAUGCCAGUGUGCCAAGGCCACAGGGAAAGCGAGUGGUUGGUAAAAAUCCGUGAGGUCGGCAAUAUGUUGUUUUUCUGGAACUUACUUAUGAUAACAUCUUCUGAGUCAUAACCAGCCUGGCAGUAUGAUGGCCUAGAUGCAGAGAAAACAGCUCCUUGACAGGUAUCUCUUCGUUAUCAGAAGAGUUGCUUCAUUUCAUCUGGGAGCAGAAAACAGCAGGCAGCUGUUAACAGAUAAGUUUAACUUGCAUCUGCAGUAUUGCAUGUUAGGGAUAAGUGCUUAUUUUUAAGAGCUGUGGAGUUCUUAAAUAUCAACCAUGGCACUUUCUCCUGACCCCUUCCCUAGGGGAUUUCAGGAUUGAGAAAUUUUUCCAUCGAGCCUUUUUAAAAUUGUAGGACUUGUUCCUGUGGGCUUCAGUGAUGGGAUAGUACACUUCACUCAGAGGCAUUUGCAUCUUUAAAUAAUUUCUUAAAAGCCUCUAAAGUGAUCAGUGCCUUGAUGCCAACUAAGGAAAUUUGUUUAGCAUUGAAUCUCUGAAGGCUCUAUGAAAGGAAUAGCAUGAUGUGCUGUUAGAAUCAGAUGUUACUGCUAAAAUUUACAUGUUGUGAUGUAAAUUGUGUAGAAAACCAUUAAAUCAUUCAAAAUAAUAAACUAUUUUUAUUAGAGAAUGUA
Molecule: long non-coding RNA, 2352 nt
Filed under: Homo sapiens (human)
Lineage: Eukaryota; Metazoa; Chordata; Mammalia; Primates; Hominidae
Description: metastasis associated lung adenocarcinoma transcript 1
Source: RNAcentral